UGUUAAUAAUUUAUAUAUAAUAUUUUGAUGAAUAUUUAUAUAAUAUUAACAUAAUUCAUAUUACUAUAUUUUUUAGUAUAUGAAAUUUUACUUUGAGAAAAUUAGAGUGCUUAAAGCAGGCAUUAGCCUUGAAUACUCCAGCAUGGAAUAAUAUUAAAGAUUUUUAUCUUUCUUAUUGGUUCUAAGAUAAGAAUAAUGAUUAAUAGGGACAGUUGGGGGCAUUUGUAUUUAACAGUCAGAGGUGAAAUUCUUAGAUUUGUUAAAGACAAACUAAUGCGAAAGCAUUUGCCAAGGAUGUUUUCAUUAAUCAAGAACGAAAGUUAGGGGAUCGAAGACGAUCAGAUACCGUCGUAGUCUUAACCAUAAACUAUGCCAACUAGAGAUUGGAGGUUGUU
This 395-nucleotide ribosomal RNA is filed under the name Cryptosporidium environmental sequence. Its description in RNAcentral is "SSU rRNA". It matches the Rfam family "Eukaryotic small subunit ribosomal RNA", at positions 665 to 1064 of the family's 1831-position model. Lineage: Eukaryota; Apicomplexa; Conoidasida; Eucoccidiorida; Cryptosporidiidae. The record is from RNAcentral.